RNAcentral lists this ribosomal RNA (484 nucleotides) under uncultured bacterium. RNAcentral's name for it is "partial 16S ribosomal RNA". It matches the Rfam family "Bacterial small subunit ribosomal RNA", at positions 30 to 507 of the family's 1533-position model. The record is from RNAcentral.
AUUGAACGCUGCCGGCAGGCCUAACACAUGCAAGUCGAGCGGAUGAAGGGAGCUUGCUCCUGGAUUCAGCGGCGGACGGGCGAGUAAUGCCUAGGAAUCUGCCUGGUAGUGGGGGAUAACGUCCGGAAACGGGCGCUAAUACCGCAUACGUCCUGAGGGAGAAAGUGGGGGAUCUUCGGACCUCACGCUAUCAGAUGAGCCUAGGUCGGAUUAGCUAGUUGGUGGGGUAAAGGCCUACCAAGGCGACGAUCCGUAACUGGUCUGAGAGGAUGAUCAGUCACACUGGAACUGAGACACGGUCCAGACUCCUACGGGAGGCAGCAGUGGGGAAUAUUGGACAAUGGGCGAAAGCCUGAUCCAGCCAUGCCGCGUGUGUGAAGAAGGUCUUCGGAUUGUAAAGCACUUUAAGUUGGGAGGAAGGGCAGUAAGUUAAUACCUUGCUGUUUUGACGUUACCAACAGAAUAAGCACCGGCUAACUUCGUG